UAACAACCAUCUUUAAAGAUGCACACAAGAACAUAAUGCAAACUGUAUUACUACUGUAGCUUAAAUAACCUGAGCUAACAUGCACAGAAUUAAGUACACUUACAAGUUAAAGAAAUGCUGUAACCGCUUUGUAUAAUAGAUAAGAAGUAAACGACAGAAAUAUUUUAAAACAUGUAAGAUCCAUCCCAGAAGGUUACAUUCCUCAUUUGAAUGAGAAAUUUGAGCAUACACAAUAAAAGCAUAAAUGAAAGAAUGAACGAGGCUAGUUAAACAUUGUUAUCUUAGAAUGUUUGGCCAACCUGAGCUAGCUCUAUCCAAUGUCCAUAUCUAACUCCAGAAGGCAAAUUGACUAUGUUGCUUCUUUUAUAUGAUAUUCCCCAUGUUCCUAAUGAAUUGGACUUGCUGACUUGUGUUCGACUUGAGAUCCAUUCUCAGUCACUUGCACAAUGCAACAUAAGUUGAGGUCAGUAAAUAGAUCAAGCCAUCAAGGUGUGAAUAUCCUUUCAAUAGUAACCUGCUAAAGUCCCAGAAUUGUAUAGCGAGACAAUAAAUGUGGAAAAUAUUGAUAGAAUGAUAGAUGUAGAAAAGAAGACAGAGAAAAGAAGAGUCCAUGAUAUGUCUCCAUCGCCUACAUGGUUUCCGUUUCAACUGAUAUUGGAGCUGAUAUUUUCUCAUAUGGUUUUACCUGGUUAUUGCCUGUGCUCCAUGCACCAAUUACCUGGUUAUUUUCAUAAGACUUCCUUAGAAAGAGUCAGGAAUUUAGCCGGUGAGCUUUGGCAUCCUACUAGUGAAUGGAAGUUAAUACCUUUGGGAAAAGGUUUCUUUAUGCUUCGUCUUAGUUGCGAGAAGGACUUGGUUCACUAGAUAUGGACACCAGAUUUUGAUCCGGAUUUACAAAGAUCGUCAAAGUCACUAGCUUGGAUAAAAUUUCCCAAGCUUGGCCAACAAUAUAAUAUUGGGAUUAUGAAAUUUUUAUGUCUCUUGGGAAAGCAAUAGGCGAUCCUAUUGGAGUAGACAAGCAUACCAUUAACAGGGAUUUUGGGUAUUUUGCGAGUGUUCUUGUGGAGGUGGAUAUUAGCAAACCAAUCCCUAG
Molecule: long non-coding RNA, 1093 nt
Filed under: Aquilegia coerulea
Lineage: Eukaryota; Viridiplantae; Streptophyta; Magnoliopsida; Ranunculales; Ranunculaceae
Description: long non-coding RNA (ACOE_LNC000362)
Source: RNAcentral